RNAcentral lists this ribosomal RNA (1690 nucleotides) under Stutzerimonas stutzeri. Its description in RNAcentral is "Pseudomonas stutzeri partial 23S ribosomal RNA". It matches the Rfam family "Bacterial large subunit ribosomal RNA", at positions 1272 to 2925 of the family's 2925-position model. Lineage: Bacteria; Pseudomonadati; Pseudomonadota; Gammaproteobacteria; Pseudomonadales; Pseudomonadaceae. The record is from RNAcentral.
GCUGGAGGUAUCAGAAGUGCGAAUGCUGACAUGAGUAACGACAAUGCGAGUGAAAAACUCGCACGCCGAAAGACCAAGGGUUCCUGCGCAACGUUAAUCGACGCAGGGUGAGUCGGUCCCUAAGGCGAGGCUGAAGAGCGUAGUCGAUGGGAAACGGGUUAAUAUUCCCGUACUUCUAGUUACUGCGAUGGGGGGACGGAGAAGGCUAGGCCAGCAAGGCGUUGGUUGUCCUUGUUUAAGGUGGUAGGCAGAGAUCUUAGGUAAAUCCGGGAUCUUAAUGCCGAGAGCUGAUGACGAGCUUUCUUUUAGAAAGCGAAGUGGUUGAUGCCAUGCUUCCAGGAAAAGCCUCUAAGCUUCAGGUAACUAGGAACCGUACCCCAAACCGACACAGGUGGUUGGGUAGAGAAUACCAAGGCGCUUGAGAGAACUCGGGUGAAGGAACUAGGCAAAAUGGCACCGUAACUUCGGGAGAAGGUGCGCCGGUGAGGGUGAAGUAUUUACUACGUAAGCCCAUGCCGGUCGAAGAUACCAGGCCGCUGCGACUGUUUAUUAAAAACACAGCACUCUGCAAACACGAAAGUGGACGUAUAGGGUGUGACGCCUGCCCGGUGCCGGAAGGUUAAUUGAUGGGGUUAGCGCAAGCGAAGCUCUUGAUCGAAGCCCCGGUAAACGGCGGCCGUAACUAUAACGGUCCUAAGGUAGCGAAAUUCCUUGUCGGGUAAGUUCCGACCUGCACGAAUGGCGUAACGAUGGCGGCGCUGUCUCCACCCGAGACUCAGUGAAAUUGAAAUCGCUGUGAAGAUGCAGUGUAUCCGCGGCUAGACGGAAAGACCCCGUGAACCUUUACUAUAGCUUUGCACUGGACUUUGAGCUUGCUUGUGUAGGAUAGGUGGGAGGCUUUGAAGCGUGGACGCCAGUUCGCGUGGAGCCAUCCUUGAAAUACCACCCUGGCAACCUUGAGGUUCUAACUCUGGUCCGUUAUCCGGAUCGAGGACAGUGUAUGGUGGGUAGUUUGACUGGGGCGGUCUCCUCCUAAAGAGUAACGGAGGAGUACGAAGGUGCGCUCAGACCGGUCGGAAAUCGGUCGCAGAGUAUAAAGGCAAAAGCGCGCUUGACUGCGAGACAGACACGUCGAGCAGGUACGAAAGUAGGUCUUAGUGAUCCGGUGGUUCUGUAUGGAAGGGCCAUCGCUCAACGGAUAAAAGGUACUCCGGGGAUAACAGGCUGAUACCGCCCAAGAGUUCAUAUCGACGGCGGUGUUUGGCACCUCGAUGUCGGCUCAUCACAUCCUGGGGCUGAAGCCGGUCCCAAGGGUAUGGCUGUUCGCCAUUUAAAGUGGUACGCGAGCUGGGUUUAGAACGUCGUGAGACAGUUCGGUCCCUAUCUGCCGUGGACGUUUGAGAUUUGAGAGGGGCUGCUCCUAGUACGAGAGGACCGGAGUGGACGAACCUCUGGUGUUCCGGUUGUCACGCCAGUGGCAUUGCCGGGUAGCUACGUUCGGAAGAGAUAACCGCUGAAAGCAUCUAAGCGGGAAACUUGCCUCAAGAUGAGAUCUCACUGGAGCCUUGAGCUCCCUAAAGGGCCGUCGAAGACUACGACGUUGAUAGGUUGGGUGUGUAAGCGCUGUGAGGCGUUGAGCUAACCAAUACUAAUUGCCCGUGAGGCUUGACCAUAUAACACCCAAACAAUU